RNAcentral lists this ribosomal RNA (245 nucleotides) under uncultured bacterium. RNAcentral describes it as "partial 16S ribosomal RNA". It matches the Rfam family "Bacterial small subunit ribosomal RNA", at positions 524 to 765 of the family's 1533-position model. The record is from RNAcentral.
UACGUAGGGGGCGAGCGUUGUCCGGAGUUACUGGGCGUAAAGGGCAUGCAGGCGGUGUGGCGCGUUUGGUGUGACAGCGGCUGGCUUAACUAGCCGAGCAUACGAAAGACGGCCAGACUUGAGGACUCGAGAGGGACACGGAAUUCCGGGUGGAGUGGUGAAAUGCGUAGAGAUCCGGAGGAACACCGAAGGCGAAGGCAGUGUCCUGGCGAGGUUUACCUGACGCUCGUGUGCGAAAGCCAGGG